Molecule: long non-coding RNA, 5117 nt
Filed under: Sus scrofa (pig)
Lineage: Eukaryota; Metazoa; Chordata; Mammalia; Artiodactyla; Suidae
Description: lncRNA (ENSSSCG00065067638.1)
Source: RNAcentral
CAUUUAAAUUUUUAUGGUUGAAGGAAAUGGAGGGCAAUUAGGAAAAUUCACUUAAAGCACAGAAACAUAAAAUAGGAAAGCCUGGUGUGAGGGGACUUCUUUUGAGCUCCUGUGGAACCUUCUCACUGCACUUACGGCAGGGGCUUGUGACUGCAAGCCUACUUUCUGUCUUGUCUUCUAGACCCCGAGUUCCCUGAGGGCAGAGGCCCUGUCUUCCAUCCCUCCACACCGCUGAUCCCCGCCGCUACCCCAGGCAGGGAGGUAGUAGUCAGCAGUGUGUAAUGAAACAAAUGAAUGACCCCACAAGAGGGGGCAAGGGCUGGGCACCGUGACUGCUUCCUGAGAGUACAGUAUGGAAGGAGGAAAAAGAAGACAACCUUACUGUAGGGAAGUCUGACAAACCAUACCGCAGCCACAGGGUCAAGGUCAACAUCAGCAGUGAUAACUCAUGUGGAGAGGACGUACCCUUGAUACACAGGGUGACAACGGCACUCUAGGCCUCUGUGGGCUUCCUUUCAAAAACUUCUAACUCCCAUCUAAACAUCAGAAAAACAUCAAAUUCCAACAGACUCUAUGAUAUCCUCAAGCAGGACUCCUAGACACUGUGAAGGUCACCAGAAAUAAAGAAACUCUGAGAAACCAUCACAGCCAAGAGGAGCCUAAGGAGACCUGGCGAUUUAAUGUCAUGUGGUCUCCUAGAGGGGUGUUCGGAGGGAGAAAUGGGUCUGGGAGGAGAGACCCAUCUGAGGGUAGUACGUUGGUGUCACACUUAACUCACGCUCCUUCAACUGCAACAUCCCAAACUCUCUACCUAGACACAAAGAACCAGUUUAGGGCCGUGGAGGACUUCCUGCCAAAGCCUAGCUCCGUCUUGGCCAACCUCUAGGCUGUUAAGGGCAACCAUGUGGAAGAUGGUUUGGUAUUUAGCUACAUGUCUUUUUCCCCAGCCCCUCGUCAUUGCCAAGCAGAAAGCCGAGGGCUGGCAGACUGAGGCCUGAGACACAAAGACAGCUUCCAAUUGGGGUUUACAGAAAGGGCAUCACAUGGCCUGGCUGGCAGGCCACACUUUGCCGUGCAGCCCCAUCCAUCAGCCACCCUCUGGGGGAUCUCAUUUUCCAGCUUGGCGUAGGGUACAUUUUCUAAAUGUGACCCUAUUUCUGUUAUGAGAAUCAAAGUGCUCCUACUGCAAGACCAUAAAUACUCAAAAGUGACAGCUAAUGGCAGUGGCAGUUCGCAAAAUGCCAAAUGGCAGCGAGAAGUGGACGCCAUAAAUUACAGCCCGACUCCUCCAUUCUCACUGAGGUGUUUUGUGGGUUUUUAGUGAUGAGAUCUGCUUUCAAGUGGAUUUACAGGGGCUCCCUGUGAAUUCAGGCAGAGCUUUUAAAAGUACUUCUAACAGAUGCCAAAAAGAAAACCAGAAGAGCCUACCACUUAAAGCCUAAAAACAAGUUAAUUAAAAAUGCUUUGAGGAGUUCCCAUCGUGGUUCAGCGGUUAGCAAACCCAACCAGCAUUCAUGAGGACUUGGGUUCGAUCCCUGGCCUCGCUCAGUGGGUUAAAGAUCCAACAUUGCCGUGAGCUAUGGCAUAGGUCGCAGAUGAGGCUCAGAUCUGGCGUUGCUGUGGCUAUGGCAUGGGCUGGCAGCUAUAGCUCCAAUUGGACCCCUAGCCUGGAAACAUCCAUAUGCCAUGGGUACGGCCCUAAAAACACACACACACAGACACGCAAAAAAGUGUUGAAUGUAUAAUGGCCAAAAUAUGGAAAGUAGCUCAUUUGAAGAUGGAAACAUCUAGUGUGUAAAUGCUAAUGAUUAUAAUAACAAUAAUGAAGACAGCUAAGAUAUAUUGGGUCAGGCACUGGGCUAAGCAUCUUACAUGGACUAUUUCAUUGAAUUCUUACAAGAGCUUCACAUCGUAGGUCUACGGUUGUCUUUAUUUUACACAUGUGGCAAUUCAGGUUCUAAGAGGUUAUUAAGCCAUUUAACUUCCCAGGUCACGCAGCGAGCUAGUGAGUGACAGCCUGGAGCCAUGCACACAAGGGGUCUCGAUUUAGAACUCAGGAUCCACGUGGCCCUGCCUAUCUCCCUCCCAGGCCCGCUGUCCCGAGACGGAACACAUCAACGGCUCACAAACCACAGUAGAUGCCCUGGUGCACUCAGUCUAUGGCUGCAUAAGCGUCAAACCGCAGAACCCUGUCAUGAGCCAAUGAACAAAAGGACCAACUUUUAUUUUUUUNAAGGACCAACUUUUAGAAAAUACAAAGGAUCCCUAUUUUCAUGAAACUGUGAAUUCUAGGCCUGAUCUUUUAGUCUCAGCACCCUCAUCAAUAAAAUGAAGGCAAUACGACCUUCUGACUUUAGAAAAAUUUCACGUAUGUGAAAAAAUCCUUCAAAACCCGAAGGCACUGUACAAAUUGUGCUGUUAAUGAAAACGCCAAGAUAAAACGGAUCAAGUCAACCGCCAGCAGGCCUUCGCUCCCAUCCCCUCUACGGAGGCAGAGACUAGAACCUGCUCAGGGUCACAGAAUUGAGAGGCAGUGGCUCAACCUCGAGGCAUCUGACGGGCCAUUUGCUCUUUCCGGUCUCAGGGCCACCCUCGGUGCCCCCGUAUCCCCCACCACACACCAGGGCUCCAGGAAACAGAGUUUGCGAACUCCUGAAAAAGUCGGCUCCAAAGGUCCCUCCGGGGGCUGGAGCUCAAGUCAGCUUUCCUGUCUCCAGGCAGCAGUUCCGCAGAGUGCAGCCUGAGGACGGGCGUCACUGCGGCGUCAGAAAGAGCCCAUCUGUGCUGCCCUGAGCACAGUUUGCACAGCUGCUGCUGUGGCCUGCGACCCGAAGGCGGAAACUGCAGGCUCCCCAAGACCAAGAGGCCCCCUCAUUUCAUGCUCAUUUGGUUUAUCUGCAGCUGGAUGGGGACAGUUCUGAUGAGUGUGGGGAAAGGAGAAGGCCUGUGCAGGGCUGUGAGGGGACCAGUGCUACCGCCAGCUGUCUAAGGACACGUCUCCAGGUUCUGUCCUUCCACAAAUUUCUUCCCUUUGGGAGCUGUCCCACUUUUUCACAAAAUUCUAUGCAUCAGAUCAUUUCCCCCAGGCCCUGUUUCUUCUAUUUUCUGACUUGCGUAAAGCUGUUGAAAGGAAAAUUACAGAAUCAUGGAAUCUCAGAGCUGAGAGGAUCGUAGAUGCUAAAGGUUGUCUGCCUCAACCUCCCACCCCCACCCCUUCCUCCUAUCUGGCACUUAGGUCCCCUCUAAAGCAUUUCUGCCAAAGGGUUAUCCAGGCUUUGCUUGAAUACCUCCAAGGACGGGUCAGGCACUGGGCUGUUUGUUCCAUAUUCCGCCUAUCGUCAGAAUGAUGUAGUGACAGGUCGAGAGCACAGACCCUGCCCAGAUCUGAUGACAUAACCUGGCGGGGAUCAGGGCAAAAUGAAAACAUGGAGACAGACCCUUCUUUAAAAAUUAAGAAUUUCGAGGUGGGAACGCAGAGCAAUGACUCAGGCACAGGGCCCUUCUAUGCGUGGGAAGCUUUUAAGCAGGGGGCCCUGGGCGACAGCCCUGGCUGCAGCCCAUGUGACCUGAUACUGAUGGCAGAUUCCAAGGGCUUGGAUCCCACUCACUGACCGGGACUAGCCUCAUGUGUGAAGUGAAGGGAAUGAUGUCUAUCUCAUAACUUGUCUUGCCCGUGAAGUGCUUAGAGCAAAGCCUGGCACAGAGUAAACACCACCAUUUUUGUGCCCAAGUUACAACUAUGGACAGAAAGAGAAGUACACAGGGCAACCUCCACACCAGAGCUUUUGUUAUCUGCACAUGGUAUAUUCAGCCUCGAGAGCCUUUUCUACACCUGGAGCAGAGCUGCUGGCUCCUGGCCCCACGGCCAGCCACUAAGGUCACGGGUAGUAAUAACCACAGCCACCAUCAAGGGCAGAUCCAGUUUUGUGGGACCUGAUGUUUAAGUUUUGGGGAUGAGGACAGGGGCGAGGAAAGGCUCUUUGAGAAAAAGAAUAUGAAAUAAAGGCAUGCACAUAACGUAUUUUUUUAAAUGCUGCUGGAUGUAGUCCCAACUCAAUUUUCUCACCACAGGAUUCUAAAACUGCCUAUGGCCGUCCCAAUACCAUGGACCAUGAAGAGGAGUCAGAGGUGAGAGAGGCAGCAGUCCUACAGUUGGCUGUGGCUUAACCAUCACGCUUUUGCAAAUUUUAAGAGGACAUAUGACCAUGGGACAUGUUGCUGGGCCCCUCCAAGGACUCUGGAGGGGAGGUGCCCCAAGCUCCAUGGUAAACUGAUGCUGGUACCACAGUUCAUGUCUAAGAUACUCCAUGGAAAAGCAAUCCGCCCAAGAAGCAAGGCGCAGUCACAAGUGCUGCUGAUUCUAACCCUUGAAUGCCUGUGUCAUGAAUAUGUCUGCUCCUCUCCACUACUGCCUGCCUGGGCUUCACGGCUCCCAGAUGGCUGCCCCACUGGCACCCUGGUCCCCUCCUGGUCAGUCUCUACAGAGCAGCUGUGGUGACCCACCCAGAAUUCAAACUUGACCAUGGAAACCCUCCAACAGUUUCCCACUGCCAUUGGGAUAAACUGCUUACCAUGCAGCACACAAUCCUUCCAAGACCCCCCUAACACUCUCUUCCUGGUCCCAAACUCUUCAAGGCCCAGCCCCAGGCAGACAAGCAGGACACUCUGUCUGGAAUCCUCUCCUCAUCCCAUACUCCAACCUGGUGAAUUCAUCCUUUAAUACUCACUUAAAUGGCAAUUCUUCCAAGAAGCUUUCUGUGGGCCUCCCCAAAGCAAAAAAAAAAAAAUCUGAGUUUGGCACCUGCCAUGCACUCCCACCGCACCCUCUACUUCCUCCAUGGAAGCACUUGUGUCACCUUCUUGCCAUUACAGUACUCAACAGCCUGCCUCCCAGUGAUGCUGUGCGUGGCAGGAGAGAGGGCCCUGUCCACCCCGCAGCCCCAGGGCUAGCACAGUAUUGGAAGCAUGGUAGGUACUGAACACCAUGCACUGGUCAACAGGGAGCAUCUCAGAAUGCCAAACCCAGGCUGUGGUGUCCUGAACCCUGGGGUGGCGUUCCCAGCCCAGCAUUGCUGUCAACCUGCUGGACAACCCAUGGCAACAACCAGGCCUCCACC